AAUGAAGUUAAAGGAAUCCUAUUGAAUGAAUGUAUAGGAAUUCUAAGAUCAAUCCGAUCAUCUAGAUUCUCACUUUGUUCUAUAAACAGAGUGUAUCCCGUUGCCUCCACUAGACUAUAAACGAUGAAUGUUAUCCAAAGAGGUAGCAAUUUUACUAGGGGCUUUGCUUGAUUCAUUCGUUCAGCAACCGUCUUUCUUGCUGGAUCUUCAUGGUCAUAGCAGCACUUGCCAGAGCAGAAAGCUAAAUAAGCCACCACGACGACUAUUAGUGAAACCUUGAAGGUUUCAUCCCAUUCAAGGCUUGAUGCAAAUGUUGAAGAUACGACCGUUCCUAGAAACACUGCAAUAUAAUUCCAAAAAUUAGCACGAAUUCUAAGUGUAUCCUCAUAUUUCUCCAUAUGUUGUUUUUGGGAAAACUGAUCUUCCAUUAUCUCAAUCUCAUCAAUGUCCAUAGUCGCAAGAAACUGGUCACAGAGAAAUGGUUUCAACGAAGCAUCUUGUCCCGCUGUGCCUAGCAUAAAUAACGUUAAUGCUACGUAAAAUAUAAUAUUGCUGACAUGUGAAGCAAGAAGCCAACUAGAAAGCCAUAAUACCAGUAAUGCCUGCAAAAAGAAUAAUAUCAUUAUUGUGAGUGUUUUUUGCGAUAUUGAAAAUGCAAUGGAGUUGAGUGCGACGAGUAUGGUGAUGAAGUAUUUUUUUGAAAGGACAUGGCGGUGUAUUAAUACAGCAACCUGAACACAGGAUAACGCAUGGUGGUACGUGCCUAAAAGGUGCAUGGGUUGCUCAAAAAAAUAGCAUUGUUCGCUUGCAUGGAAGCUUAUCAUUACUCACAAGUGAACGGGCGUUUGUUGAGGUUGAUAUAUAUUUGAGUGUGGUAUCUCACGACACUAAAAUGUGGUAUAAACAUGGAAGAUCCAAAAAUCCAUUAACUAAUUAGAUUAAUGGGAUAUCUCUGUGUUGAAGAUAUGGUUUAUCUCCCAACAAAUUUCAAUAUUAAUGACUUCUGUUUUUUGUUUUCUUAAUCGAAAUGUGAUUUUUUUUUUACACACAAUUUUAGAAAGAAAGGAAAUUUACAACUGCCCUCUACCAUUGAAUUAUUAAAUGUUCUUGAUCACAAACUAUAAGAAAAUUUAAGGUAACUCAUUGCAUAUUUAAAUAUUAAUUGUUUAGCUUAAUUUUCCGAAAUAAUUUUUCUACUCUAGAAAACUUCUGAUAUUAUUAAAAUAAUUCUUUUUAGCUUUUCAUAAAAAGUUUAACACAUGAUUACAUGUAUUGAAUGUAAAUAAAUAAUUUCUUGUUUUCAAAUUCAUAGAGUAAGUGAUUUAGUAUUAAAAAAAAUGCAGAUAAAAAUUACUAUCUUUGUUCCAGAUUUAAUGUCUACAUUUUCUUUUUUAAUAUGUUCCAUAAUUAUAUCCACUUUCCAUUUUUAACAUUUACAACUCUUACUUUUUCUAUGUUAUAUAUUAAUUUUUAAUAUAUUUUUUUAUUUUUUAAUAUUGUAAAAACUAAAAUUUAUUGAUCAACAUUAUAAAAAAUAUAUUAAAUAAACUAAAGCCAAAAUGUUAUUCCUAAUCCUCUCCUAUGUUAAGUCCAAAGUGAAUAUUGGAUUUCGAAUGAAAAAAAUAUGAAUGAUAUAAAUUUAAUUUUAUACCGUUCAUAUUUAUCAUAGUAUUGUGUAACUCUUGAUAAAAACAUUUGAAAAUAUCAUAAGAAUAUAUAAAAUGCAAAGAAAAUAGGGUGAAGAAAAAAGAGGCACAGGACAAGGCAAGAGGAGACUCGUUUGAGAUGCAACUAACUACAAUAGUGUAAGUCGGAGACAAGUGCUGACAGAUGAAGAAUAAACUUACGAUGAUCAAAGCUGGAACAGUGCAAACGAGGAGUUUGAACCGGCCUAUGCGAUCAGCUGCGAUGUGGUCGAGGACAAUAGACGUAAACAUUGUUACGCCUUCAAAGGCAUUUGCAAAGGCUGCAGCUUUUCGGAGAGAUGACUUGUCCCAAAUGAACUGGAUAUACGAUAUCAAGAAAGCUCUAAAUGCGUUGUCUACAAAGGCCUGGCUCAUAAGCAAACCUAUCAUCGGAUAUGGUAGCCAUCCAUUAAAAUUAUGUUAGUGUAACAAUUAAUAACGAAUACUAGCUAGUACUAUUUUUCUUUUGGAAUUCUUUUAGCCCUUCCUAUUCAAGAAUAGCGUAGAUACCUGAGAUGAAUAGGGCACCCUUAGAGAAGCGAACGUAAUUGGACGCCCACGUCCACAUGCUAGAGAAGCAGUUGUUAUAGAAAUUGCAGUAGCAACCAUUCAUUUCUCAAGUUUAAUCCUCCCUCCUGCUUGAUGUAUUACUUCCACGAAUUAAACUGGGCAUCCAAGUCCUCCCAUUUCAACCUUUUAAGAAACUAAAUUUCUCUCAACGUCAAGACACAUAUGGUCUUAUAAUAAAGCAAGUCAAUGUGGAUGCCGUCAAUCAGUCAAAUAAAAGUUCUGUCACUUUGUAAAAUAAUGGGUUCAAAGUCAUGUUUUGAAAAUUCUGGGAAGAACCCACCCAAAGGAGAUGAAUCUACUUAAAAUUAUAAUAACAAAAUAUAUUGGUAAUGUGUUUCCGAUUCUAAAUUAUAAAAUAAUGAAUCUAGUGACAUAGAUUAUCGAUGGUGAAGAUGUAGUCAGCAUUUUUGCGAUGUAAAGACAAAGAUGGAGGUAGGUAAUUAAUUAAGUUGAUAGAAGCGUGCUUACUAAUUAAGUUGGUAGAAGCGUGCUUUGUAUUAAGACCUCGUAUGGUCAAGUUAAUGAUAUGAUCAAAAAAAUAUAUAUUUCUAUGAAGAAAUAAGAGUCUAUCUAACUACUUUGGUUAUUGAGCUUACUCAUAAAAUUUUUAGACCAUAGUUCCAAUGAUAUAAACCAUUUAUUGAGCUAAUCUCAAUUUUUCUCCUCCAAUUCUUCAAAAGGGAUUUCAUCCAAAAAGGAUAUUAGGCAAUGCUUUGGGACUCGCAUGAUAUUCUGUAAUAGCCACUACAAUGUUUUUUAACUAGGGAAGAUUCUCAUAUCUGAUUUUACCCAUACAUCUUUUACUUGAUUGAAUAUUGCAGGCUUUCACCAUAUUUGUUUCAGAUAUAUGCUCUGCUUUUUCAUUCUUACUCGUCAAGGCUUGUGCAUAAUAUUAGACAACUUUGCACUCGGAGAUGGAUUCUGUUUCUUCUGGCCACUGUAAUCACCUCCUCUUCUUUCUGGAUAACCCUUCCCUGGUUGUUCAGUGCUUCGUUUUUUCCAAUAAAAAAUUCUGCACCCAAAUCUAACAAUGUUGACCUCAAGUCUUUGGUCCAAUGACCAAGCUCCAGUCAAUCUUGAAACUGCUCUUUGAACAUCUGCUGGUACCUCAUAUCUACAAAUCAAAAUUUACUCCCCUACUUGAUUUUUUUUCUUAACUAUAUAAACAUAAACCACCUUACAAACUUGUUGGAAAAUUCUUUUCACCUCCAAUGUACUCUUAAUGGAAUAUUGUUGGCAAUGAAGUUAUUUUCUUACUUUCCCGGAUCAAUGCUGUAAUUAAUUACAAAACUUAAUGAAAAUGCUUGUACUAUUAGAAGAAUAGAUGAUAAUAAUAAGAAGUUAACGAGAUGAGAAAUCCAUUUCCAUAGAUAUUUAUUAUUGAAUUAAUUGUUCGUUUAAGAUGUAUUACAUAACUUAACAAUGCAAAAAACCUCUUUUAUAGACCAUAGAUCAUCCUUGAACUAAGUCAAUGAAUUUUUUUUUAAGCAAAAACACUAGUUAGGUGCUGUAAAAUUAUAAUUAAGAUUUAGCAAGUGUCUAGCUGUUUCUCGAUCUAGUCAUGGAAUCAAAAUUAUAAAAAAUUGGUAUGUUUGAAUAACGCAGCAAUGACAAAUUCUGGUCCAAAGGGGUUUUGUCAUCUCCACCGUGAUGAAUGUGUUUAAGAUUAUAAAUAUAUGAUUCCAUAAUGUUUCAUUUUGGCACAUGGAGUUAAGGAUAAGACAUGAUUAUAAUAAAAUAACUGAAAAAAAAACAAAUGAAAGUUUGGGGAGAAGACAGAAAUGGUAUUGAUAAUUAUAUAUAUGAAAGUACACAUCAUUACUUAAACCUUUGGGCACGUUCACGUUUGACAGAUUAUGAAAAAAAUCAUACUUUAAUAAGUCUUUAAGUUAUAAUUUUUGUGAUUUUGUCAAAUCAAAAGACACAUUACCAAAAAAAACUCUUUUUUUUUUAUAAAAAAAACUUUAUUAAACACUAAUUAAAUGAAGGAAACUAAUUCCCAACAUAUCCUUCAUAAGAAAAGAUCUAGAGUCUAUGGAUGACACAUUAUAAAAUUCGUAAUCCUCUUCUAUGGAGAAAUAAGACCUUUUUUUUGAAUUAAUGAGUUUUAUUUUAUAUUUGUUGUUUUUUACUGUUUUUUAUUAUUAUGAAGGUUCAUAAUCAUUUGUGGGAUUGAUAAUUCAUUUGGUGUCCUCUUUUUACUAUCAAAAUCUUCCUCUUUGGUUGUUUUUUAAACUUGGGUCUUUUAUUUUUUUAUUUGUUAUUUUUGUUUAUUUUCAUGUUCAUUAAGAGUAUACAUAAUUAACUAAUUUAUUAUUUAGAACAAAUAAAGUUAUUAUAUACGCUCCAUAAUAAAAAAUAAAAAUGAAAAAAAAAUUUCCAUAUCAUCCUACUCUCAAUAAUUAUUUUCAACAUCUAUUUUAAAAUAAUGUUUCAAAUUAGUGACAUUUUGAAAAGUGUAAGGGGUGGUAAUGCUUAAAGAAGUUACACUCGUUUGUUACCACGCCACCUGUUAUUUUAAUAGUAUAAUGCUAAUAUUUUAAACUUUUGUUUGGUUUUUAGGACAGGGAAGACAAUAUUUUAGUUGAUUGCAAGAAACAUCUUGUUCAAAACUAUAGCUUCCGUUGUCAAAUUGACUUUGAUAAAAAAAAAAAACGGAAAAUCUUACUCAAUCUAGUAAUGGGAAAGCAGGAAGCCCAUUGAUGGUUAUAUAUUACUCGAUCUAGUCUCUGAAACAUCUGAGAAUUUGUACAUGUAUACGGGUUGCUUUCAAAGCCACCAUCCAUUAAGCCAUAGUCGAGCAAAGUUGCUGCAAAAUCUUCCAUUGAUCCACUAUGAGGAGCUGCUCUAUAAAGUCUUUUUUCCGUCUUCAGUAUGACAUUAAAGUCCCCACCCACGAACCAUGGUGCAUGAAUGUCUGCUGAAAGACUUUUCAAACAAUCCCAAAGUGGUAUUCUCUCAAACCUGGUGCAUUUGGCAUAGAUAAAGGAAGCAAAAAUAGGAAUUGCCAGCCAUGGGAAUGACAAACGAACAUGUAAACACUGAACAUGAUUAAAUAAAACUUCACACGAUAAGUCAUAUGAACAAAACACCCAUAUUUUCUGAGAACAAUUUGUAAUAACCUUCUCAAAGCCCAGUUUCCUGCAAAAAAAUUCUGCUUUCUGAGCCUCAACCAUAGGCUCCAAUAUAACUAGAAUUUUGAGUUUAUAAAGCAACUUCAAUUGUUUGAUUCUUCCCUGAGUAACCUUACUUGAGAAGCUUCUUACAUUCCAUAUCAACAUAUUAAUCAUGGACAAGUAUGAGCUAGAGAGUAUGCUGAUUUAGUUAGCAUUUUGCAAUGGAGGUUAAUAAUUAAGUUGAUUUAAAACCUUGUAUGGUCAAGUUAAUGAUAUGGUCAAAAAAAUUAUAUAUGAAGAAAUAAGAGUCUAUCUAUCUACUUUGGUUAAUUAUAGAGCUUACUUAGAAGAUUUUUAGACCAUAGUUCCACUAAUAUAAACUAUUUAUUGAGCUAGUCUCAAUUUUUCUCCUUCAAUUCAUCAUAAGGGAUUUCAUCCGAAAGAAUAUUAGGAAAUGCUUUGGGACUGUUGAAAUAUGGCUUCAUCUUGCUGCCAAGCUGAUUCAAAGGCUGAAGUUUACAAGAAAUUCAUAGCUGCAGAAAGAAUAGUAGUUUUUGUCGGUUUAUCUUUAUUUUUUUUAUUUGUUAUUUUUUUUCUUUGUCUAUCAAUAAUAUUUUUCUUCCAAAUACUGUGUCGUUUUACUUGUGUAGCCGUUAGGCUUGUGUGGCUGUCUUGGGAAUCUGAGCAUAACUCCCUAUGCACUAUUCUUUCAGCUGUUUCUAGAUAACCAGGUGUCCUUAGCUAGUUGUCUAUUUCUCUCUCAUGUAACGACCUAUAAAUACCAUUUUACCUUGUUUAAUGAAUGGGUAUGAAGCACACCGCUUUGCGCUCAUCAAAAAAAUUCUCUCUAUCUUCUUUCUUAAUAAGCUUUUCUCUCUGCUCCUCUGUUCUUUAGUUCAUUCAUUUUUCUAGAAUACUCAAUUUCUCAUCAUGGUAUUAGAGCUCUGCAACGAGUCUUAAAGGGCUGUUUUCUUCUUUUCCUCAUUAUCAUUCUUCACUUUAAUCAUCCUUUGUGUGGUUUAGUGUUCAUGGUUACUGCUAGAUUCAACACCUCAGCUCCACCAGUCUUUACUGGUGAAAACUAUGUUAUUUGGUUAGUAAAGAUGAGGUCGUAUUUGAAGGCUUAUAGUCUUUGGGAGGUUGUGGAGACUGGUGAGGAUCCUGUUCAAUGUCAUGCUAACCCCACUUUUGCUCAAAUUCGACAGUUUGAAGAGAACAAAGCUAAAAGGUACAAAGCUCUGUCCAGUUUAUAUUCAGCUAUUUUUGAUGAGAUUUUCUCUAGGAUUAUGUAACUAGAUAGUCCUAAGGAGGUAUGAGAUCACUUGAAGGAUGAGUUUUUUGGUAGUGACAAGACUAGGCAUAUUUAGUCUUUGAAUCUGUCUAGACAAUUUGAAAUGUUAAGGAUGGAAAAUGAUGAAAAUAUUAGGGAGUUUUCUGGAAGAAUGAUAAGUGUUGUGAAUUAGUUAAGGUUGUUGGAAAGGCUGUUAUUGAGGUGAAGAUGGUGCACAAGGUAAUGGUGAGUUUCCCAGAAAAGUAUGAAUCCAAAAUUUCUUCCUUAAAAGAUUCCAGGGAUAUUACUCAAAUGACUUUGAAAGAAUUAGUAAAUGUUCUAGAGGGUUUUGAGCAAAUAAGAGCAUUUAGGCAGAGAAGUGUAGCAGACAGUGCCUUGGUAGCUCAUAUGAGAAAUGUCAAAGUGAGCAGUAACAGCACAAUGAAGAAUGAAGUUAAUAGGAAGGAUAAGGAGAAAAAAGGAGUUGAUGGAAAAUUUGAAAAUAAAAGCAAAAGUAUUAACCUUGUCCACACUGCAAGAAAACCACUCAUUCUGCAAAAUUUUGUUAGUACAGACCAAAUGUGAAAUGCAGGUCUUGUAACCAACUUGGACAUGUUGAAAAAGUUUGUAAAAACAAAGGAGUUAAGUCUGAAGAGAAGGUUGCAGCAGUUGAGCAAGUUAAAGAAUCUGAGGAGGUGUUAUUCAUGACCAGAGAAGUGGGAGAUUCAUUCAAAAAGAACUUGUGGUUAAUAGAUAGUGCCUGUUCAAAUCCCUUAACUGGGGAUGAGAGUCAGUUUUCUGUCCUCGAUAGGAGCUACAGGUCCAAAGUUGAAAUUGAAAAUGGAAUCUUCUUAAGGAUACUCGGUUUAGGGACUGUUAUGGUAGAAACUCAGUCAGGCAUCAAGUGUAUUUCAAAUGUCUUUUUUAUUCCUGAAGCUAAUCAAAAUCUGCUUAGUGUUAGACAGCUUACUAAGAGUCACUAUGCUCUCUUUUUUAAGGAUAAAUGUUGCACAGUGUUUAAUCCUAAAGGUGAUGAACUGUUCACAGUGGAGAUAAAGAAUAGAUGUUAUCUAAUUGAUUGGAAGCAUACUGAACAGAAGGCCUAUAUCAGUUCUGUUGAUGAUUCAGAACUGUGGCGUAGGAGGCUAGGGCAUGUGCACUAUAAAUCUUUGCAGGAUAUGGCUACUCAGGAGAUGGUUGAAGGAUUGCCUAAGAUCAUUAAGCCUGACCAUGUGUGUGGCACUUGUCAGUUUGGAAAGCAAAGUAGAACUUCAUUUCCAAAGAAUAAGGGGUGGAAGGCUACUGAGAAGUUACAGUUGGUACACACUAACUUAACAAGACCUAUGUAGACUAUUUCCCUUGGUGGCAGCAGGUACUACGUAGUGUUUAUUGAUGAUAUAUCUAGAUACUGCUGGAUAUAUUUUCUUAAAGUUAAGACAGAUGCAUUGAUGAACUUUAUUAAGUUUAGAAGUUUAGUUGAGAAUCAAGCAAAUACUACCAUUAAAACACUUAGAAGUGACAAUGGGAAGGAAUUCACAGCUACUGAAUUUGAGAAAUUGUUAACUCAGCUUGGCAUCACUCAUCAACUUACUGCAACCUAUAGUCUUCAACAAAAUGGAAUUGCUGAAAGGAAGUAUAUGACACUUAUGGAGAUGGCAAGGUGUUUGUUAUUUCAAAAGGAUAUUCCUAAGCUGUUCUAGGCAGAAACUGUUAAUACAGUAAAUUACUUACUGAAUAGAACCAAGACCAGUUCAAUAACAGGUAAGACUCCUUUUGAGUAUUGGUUUGGUUUCAACUGAAUAAAGAAAAUUGUUUACAGUAGUUUCAUAUUUAUAAAGUACACAGAAUCAAAGUUAAACAUGUAUAGUUUCGUUAAAAAAUUAUAGAAAAAAUUAAAAAUAAUAUAACAAAUAACCUUUACUGCACAUCAAGGAAAAAAAAAAGCUUAUUGAGCAAAACAAGUACAUAUUAGCUUGCAAUAGAAAUGAUGUUGAUGAUAUGUACAACAUAUACAGCUUUGGCAUAUCCAAUAUAGGGCCAGGAAUGAAAGCGUUGAACGUCUACUUUUGCCACUGAACGGGACUCUAGAUUGCUCCAAGAGUUACUUGGAGACUUGGAAUUUGUCCCCAACGUUAAGGGAGCCAAGGAGGAUGCAGUUAUUAAUUUCGUGGGGCCAGCAACCUUUCCCAUGCUCACGUGGGAUUCGUUCUACGGUACUAUUACAUUUCAAUCAUUCUUAUAGGUAAGAAAAAUAUAUAAAAACUUUUUAUGCUGAGCAAAAAAAAAAUGUAUACAAACAUGAUAAAAAUAUUUAAAACCGCUAACAUUAGCAAGUACUUGUCAGCAUGACUUUCGCUUUUGGUGUCGCCAAUCCAGGGUCGAGCAUACAAUAAUGAAAACACACUGACGAAUCUUCCAAAACCCAGCACACCUUCAUUAAAUGGAUACUCAAGAAACCACAUUGAAAACUGGUACUCUGUCAUAAAACAAAUGCUUUAGUCCCUUCCCCACAAUUCCUAAUAAGAAAAAUUGAGGAGCCAACAAUAAGAUUGUCAUGGGAAUUGUUUUGUUUUCCGAUUUGCCAAUUAAACUCAAUCUGUGAACCUCCACUCUCCAAGCAGUUUCGCAACACCUAAAAGCAAAGAACAUUCUGACGCCAAUUCUGACAAACCUGGCACGUUGUUGGAUCAUUUCUUCACUACUCCAUAAUUUUUUUAUAUUAGAAAACAUCACAAUAAUGAUACCACGAAGCUUGUAAAGGUUUGAAGCACAUAUAAUGAAGUUAAGGGAAUCCUAACGUUAAUACGAUUAUUUGGAUUCCUGCUUUGUUCUAUAAACAAAGUGUAUCCCGUUCACUCCACUAGACUAUAAGCGAAGAAUGUUAUCCAAAGAGGUAGCAAUUUUGCUAUGGGCUUUGCCUGCUUAAUUCAUGCAGCAACCGUCUUUCUUGCUGGAUCUUCAUGGUCGUAGCAGCACUUGCCAGAACAGAAAACUAAAUAAGCUACCGCAACAAUUAUUAGUGAAACCAUGCAGGUUUCUUUCCAACGAAAGGCUUGAUCCAAAUGUCGAAAAUACGAAGGUUCCUAAAAACACUACAAUAUAUAUUUUUCCAAAAAUUAGCACGAUUUUCAAGUGUAUCCUCGUAUUUCUCCAUCUCUUGUUUUUGGGAAAACUCAUCUUUCAUUGUCUCAGUCUCAUCAAUGUCCAACGUCGAACGAAACCGGUCACAAAGAAAUGAUUUCAAAGAAGCGACUUGUCCCGCUGUACUUAGCAUUAACAACGUUAAUGCUAUGUAAAAUAUAAUAUUGCUUCUAGAAAGCCAUAAUACCAGUAAUCCCUGCAAAAAGAAUGCCAUUGUUGCGACAUCUUUUUGCGAUAUUUGAAAAUGCGACGGAACUAUUUGUUUAUAUUAUCAAAAUAACAAUGCAUCUUUAAGUUGAUAAGUCUGUUGAGUUCACAUGUAAGUGUGAAUAUUAUAAAAAUAUCAUAAGAACACCUAAAUUAAAAUCUUAAGAUCAUGGUGACUUUAUACAUACAUGCAUGCAUGCAUAUUUAUAUUUAAGGUCAUGGUGAAAUGAUUAUAUAGUUUAAUGUAAUUUUAAUUUGUUAACUUUGAAUAAAGUAUAUUUUUUAGUUUAUUUAGAUUAAUUUUUUUUUGAACCUGACUUUACAAGAAUUGAAAUCUUAAUUCAGUUAGAAUUAGGAUAAUGUGAGUUUUUGUAGCCAAAAAUUAACUCGAGCCCAUAAGAUAUAAUUUAUAUAAAACUUUUGAUGGAUGCCAUAAAACUAUCAUAAGAAGACCUAAAGUGCUAAACGAGUUGGGGGGGAAGAAAAAAAAGAGGCAAUCAGCAAGCCAAAAGAAAACUAGUUUGAGAUUAAACUAACUACAAUAGUGUAAGGCGAGGACAAGUGCCGACAAAUGCCGAAUAAACUUACCAUGAUCAAAGCUGGAACAGUGCAAAUAAGGAGUUUGAAAUGGCCUACGCAAUGAAAUGCGAUGUCGUGGAGGAUAAUAGAUAUAAACAUUUUUAUGCCUACAAAGGCAUUUGUAAAGGCUGCAGGCAUUUGGAGAGACGGCUUCUUCCAAAUGAACUGGAUAUACGAUAUUAAGAAAGCCGUACAUGCGUUGUCUAAAAAGGCGUCGCCCAUAAUCAAACCUGUCAUCAUAAAUGGUAGGUAGUGUUAGGAUAGUCUUGAAUUGUGAUUUAAUUAGGAUUGUUUGAUUCUAAUUAAAUUAGUAUACCUUAUAAAUAGUCUUUAAAUCUAGUUAGAUUAGAAUAACAAUUUCUAAUUCUAUUAGGAUAAGAUUCCUAAUUAAAUUAGGAUAAGGUUAUUGUAUUUGAUACUAUAAAAGGACCCUAUGGGUUAAAGAAUAAUUAUCACCUAGAUUUAGAGAGAGUGAUUUAGGUGUACGUGGGAUAAGGGUUAUGAGUUUGAGACUGUUCUUGUAAUCUCCUGAUUUUUCUCUUAGUGAAUUUUUCUCUGUUGUUGUGCCCGUGGACGUAGGUCAUCAAAAGACCGAACCACGUAAAUUCUUGUGUUCUUGUGGGUGUGCUUGAUUUCUUUCUUUCUUUAUUCUAUUGAUUGGGUUAGAUCUUGGGCAAUUCUUUAGAGACAAUUCCGCAAUUUCCCAACAAACUGGUAUCAGAGCUUCAAGGUCUUGGAUCAAUCUGAAUCUCGCUAUGGCAACUUCGUCGACCAAGUAUGAGAUUGAAAAGUUUAAUGGAAGAAACGAUUUCAGCCUGUGGCGUGUUAAGAUGCGCGCAUUGCUAGUGCAACAAGGACUGUUGAAGGCACUGAAGGGAAAAGAGCAUCUUCCCUCGAAUUUAUCUGAUGGUGAGAAAGAUGACCUUAUGGAAAAAGCACAUAGUGCUAUUCUCCUUGCUUUGUCUGAUGAGGUGCUAAGAGAAGUCACGGAUGAAGAAUCUGCUGCUGCAGUGUGGUUUAAACUCGAAAGUAUUUAUAUGACCAAGUCCCUGACGAAUCGGCUUUAUAUGAAGCAACGAUUGUAUACUCUCAAGAUGAGUGAAGGUACGUCCGUUAAUACCCACAUUGAUGAAUUUAAUAGAGUUAUUCUUGAUUUAAAGAAUAUCGAUGUUAAAAUUGAGGAUGAGGACCUAGCCCUAAUUCUUUUAUGUUCUUUGCCUCCAUCGUAUGAAAAUUUCGUGGAUACUAUGCUUUACGGCCGAGACACUCUCACUUUCGAGGAUGUAAGGGCAUCUUUAAAUUCCAAGGAAUUAAAGAAGAAAGUUGGUGGUAUUCGGAAUGAAAAUCAAGCAGAAGGUUUGGUUGUAAAUAGAGGUAGAGGUAAAGAGAAAGGCUUAGACAGAAAAGGUAAAUCUAGAGCAAAAGGGAAAACUUGCUGGAAUUGUGGUCAGAAAGGGCAUUUUCGUCAAGACUGUAUCAAAUUCAAGGAUGAUGAAAAGUUUAAUAAGUCUGAGAAUACUGCAAACGUGGUUGGAGAUGACUUUGAUACUUUUGAGGAAACUGAUAAUGUUCUUGCAAUUACUAAUUGUAACCUGAUGGAUACAUGGAUCUUGGAUUCGGCUUGUUGCUUUCAUAUAUGUCCUAGGCGUGAUUGGUUUACAACUUAUCAAUCUGUUAAUAUGGGCACUGUACAAUUAGGAGAUGAUUUCUCUCUCUCAGUUGUUGGAAUUGGCACAAUUAGAAUCAAGAUGUUUGAUGGUAUGGUAAGAACACUUGAGGUAAAACAUGUCCCUGACAUGAAAAAGAAUUUAAUAUCCUUGAGUUUGUUAGAUAAGAAGGGCUACAAAUAUAGUGGCCAAGAUGGUGUCUUGAAUGUAUCUAAAGGAGCCUUAACUAUCAUGAAGGGCAAGUUAUCCGGUGACCUUUAUUGUCUAGUGGGAAACACGGUCAUUGAAACUGUUUCUGUGGUCUCAUCUAAUGAUCCUGAAGAUGAUGUAACACGUUUAUGGAAUAUGAGAUUUGGUCAUAUGAGCGAGAGAGGGAUUAGAAAACUAAGUAAGCAUAGUUUGCUGUGUGGUCAAAAGAGUGGAAAGCUAGAUUUCUGUGAGCAACGUAGAGUGAAAUUUAGCACUAAAACUCAUCAAACCAGGGGUACAGUAAACUACAUCUAUUUAGAUUUGUGGGAUCCUUCUCCGGUGGUAUCAAAAGGUGGAUCAUUAUACAUGUGGAUCUUUAUUGAUGAUUUUUCAAGAAAGGUGUGGACGUAUCUUCUAAAGGCUAUGAGUGAAGUGUUAACCACCUUUUUGCAUUGGAAGGUAUUGAUCGAGAAGCAGACUAAGAAAAGGAUCGAGAGCUUUCGAACAAACAAAGGUUUGAAAUUUUGCAAAGGUGAGUUUGGUCUAUUCUACAAGAAUGAGAAAAUCGUUAGACAUCGCACUGUCGACAAAACACCAUAUCAAAACGAUAUUGUAGAAUUGAUGAAGAAAACACUUUUGGAGAGAGCAAAAUACGUGUUCUCAAAUGUUGGCCUAACCAAAGUAUUUUGGACAGAAGCUAUCAACAAGGCUUGUUACUUGGUAAAUCGGUCUCCAUCAACUGCAAUUGAAUUUAAGACUCCCAAGGAAGUUUGGUCUGGUAAGCCUGCUGAUUAUUUUAUAUUGAGAGUAUUUGGUUGUCCUGUUCAUGUUCAUGUGAGUGAUGGUAAACUUGAGUUGAGGGCGACAGAGUGCAUAUUCCUAGGCUAUGCAUAUGGGGUGAAGGGUUAUUGGUUGUGGUGUACUGAUUGUAAGUUCCCCAAGUUUAUGGUGAGUCGGGAUGUUACCUUUGACAAGUCUGCAUUACUUUGUGGGAUAAAGUCUAGAAUUGCAAACACAUCAGACCAAGAAGUUGGCAAGCAGGUGGAGCUUGAAAUCAAUGCUCUUGUGACAGUGCGAGAUGAUAGUGAAAUCCAGAAAGAAUUGCAAGAGGUACAAGAAUUGGUAUCUCAACGAAGCAUUACUUGUAUUGAUGGUGAUUUUGAUUCUUAUGUUUUAUUUGUGGAAGUAGAGAUUGAAGAGCCUUACUUUUAUCAUGAGAAAAUUAUAUAUGUCGAGUCUUCUAAGAAGAUUGAGUCUCUACACUGGGAUCAAACAUGGGAGCUUGUGAAAACACCUAAAGUUACUAUUGAAGUUGGCUUAGUGUGUGAAGGAGGUGCAAACAUUAGUCGUAAUGUGGUUGGCUUCUCCAAAUCAGAUUUUGCUGGUGAUCUAGAUAGUAGAAGAUCUCAAACGGGGUAUGUGUUCACUCUCUCAGGAUCUGCAAUCAGUUGGAAAGCAGUUCUUCAAUCAACCUUUGCUUUGUCUACAACUGAAGCUGAAUAUAUGGCUGUGACCGAGGCAGUGAAGGAGGCUUUGUGGCUUAAAGGCUUGGUUAGUGAUCUUGGUUUUGAACAAACACAAACAGUUGUGUUUUGUGAUAGUCAAAGUGCUAUACAUUUGACUAAAAAUCAGAUGUUUCAUGAGAGAACCAAACACAUCCAAGUCAAGUGUAACUUCGUUCGAGAGAUUAUUUCUAAAGGUGAGAUUGUAGUAAAGAAAAUAGCUACAGAUGAAAAUCCGGCAGAUAUGCUAACUAAGUCAGUUUCUGGGAUAAAGUUCAAGCAUUGCUUGGACUUGAUCGGUGUUCGUAGUGCUUGAGGCCCAUUGGGGCAGUGGCGGUGUCGACAGAGAUUGGUUCGUAAGGUGGAGCUUGGUGAAUUCAAGCCUAAGGUGGAUAAUUGUUAGGAUAGUCUUGAAUUGUGAUUUAAUUAGGAUUGUUUAAUUCUAAUUAAAUUAGUAUACCUUAUAAAUAGUCUUUAAAUCUAGUUAGAUUAGAAUAACAAUUUCUAAUUCUAUUAGGAUAAGAUUCCUAAUUAAAUUAGGAUAAGGUUAUUGUAUUUGAUACUAUAAAAGGACCCUAUGGGUUAAAGAAUAAUUAUCACCUAGAUUUAGAGAGAGUGAUUUAGGUGUACGUGGGAUAAGGGUUAUGAGUUUGAGACUGUUCUUGUAAUCUCCUGAUUUUUCUCUUAGUGAAUUUUUCUCUGUUGUUGUGCCCGUGGACGUAGUCAUCAAAAGACCGAACCACGGAAAUUCUUGUGUUCUUGUGGGAGUGCUUGAUUUCUUUCUUUCUUUUUUCUAUUGAUUGGGUUGGAUCUUGGGCAAUUCUUUAGAGACAAUUCCGCAAUUUCCCAACAGGUAGUCAUUCAUUUAAUUUUGCUUUGGUAUUCUUUUGCCCUUCCUAUCAACGAUAGCGUAGAUACGUCAUACCUGAGAUGAAUAUGACACUCUUAGAGAAGCGAAUGUAGUUGCACACCCGCUUCCAUAUUCCAGAGAAGCAGUUCUUAAUACUCAUCAACAUUUUCGGGAAGCAACUGAAGCCAAAAAUUAAAGCAGCUUAUACAAUAUGUAUCACCUUACUUAAUGGUUGAAACACCUUUUUUUUACGUUUGCUCGCUUUUUAUGCUAGUGGAGGACUAAUUUUUAGAAAUCCUUUUUUCCAAGUAUCAGGACUAGGGAACAAUGUGAGGUAGGCGUACGUGCUCUAGCAGAAGCAUUUGGCUGAAAUGGUAAACGGAUUGACUAGGGCUUUGGUACGUGCAGUGCCAUUGCCUCUGAUUUAUGUUCGAGGAUCAAUACGCAAUGAAUUUUCUAUACGCAAGCAAAACAAAAAAAAAAAAAGGUAAAUAUCAAUAAGGGUAAAAUAGUCUAUUAAAAAGAAGCUGCAAAGAUACAUAUUAUAUAGAAUACAGAUGUUGCUGUUACUUUGGUGUAAGGGGUUGGUUGACUCCAAAUGUAUUCAUUUCUCAAAUUUAAUCCUAUCCUAUAUGAUGUAUUACUUCCAUUAAUUAAACUGGGCAUCCUAAAUAAAUGAAUAAACUGGACGUCCAAGUCCUCCCAUUUCUUUGCUUUUAAGAAACAAAAUUUCUCUCAACAUGCAUAUGGUCUUCUAAACCAAAGUCAAGGUGGCCAAAAAAGCAAUACCAAGUCAAUUAGUUUUAAAUAAAAGCACCGUGACUGGGUCAAAUAAUAGGAAAAUUUUACUUGCCCUGUCAUGGGAUCAAAAGUCAUGUUGUAAAAAUGCUGCAAACACAAAGCCUCCCAUUCAAAGGAGCCUCGUCACCACAGAGAUGAAUGUCCUUGAAAUUAUAAUAAAAAUAUAUGUUGGUAAUUUGGUUCCAACUUUAAAUUAUAAAAUAUAUGAUUCUAUUCACAUUGGUGAAGAUUUAGUUAGUAUUUUUGUGAUGGAGGUUGAUAAUUAAGUUGAUUUAAAACCUUGUAUGGUCAAGUUAAUAAUAUGGUCAAUAAAAAUUAUAUACGAAGAAAUAAGAGUCUAUCUAACUACUUUGGUUAAUUAUUGAGCUUACUCAUAAAAUUUUUAGACCAUAGUUUUACCGAUGUAAACCAUUUAUUGAGCUAAUCCCAAUUUUUCUCCCUCAAUUCAUCAGAAGGGAUUUCAUCCGAAAGGAUAUUAGGAAAUGCUUUGGGACUCGCAUGAUAAUCUGUAAUACCCACUACAAUCUUUUUUAACUAGUGAAGAUCCUCAUAUCUGAUUUCUCCCAGGCCAUACACCAUUUACUUGAUUGAAUGUUGCAGGCUUUCACCACAUUUGUUUCAGAUAUACGCUCUGCUGUUUAAUUCUUACUCGUCAAGGCUUGUGCGUAAUAAGACAACUUUGCACUCGAAGAUGGAUUCUGUUUCUUCUGGCCACUGUUAUCACCUCUUCUUCUGGGUAACCCUUCCCUGGUUGUUCAGCGCAUCGUUUCUUCCAAUAAGAAACUCUGCACCCAAAUCUGAUAAUGUUCACCUGAAGUCUUUGGUCAGAUGACCAAGCUCCAUUCAAUCUUGAAACUACUCUUUGAACAUCUGAUGGUACCUCAUAUCUAACAAAUUAAAAUUUACACCCAUACUUGAUUCUUUUCUUAACUAUAUAAAUAUAAACCACCUCACAAAAUUGUUGGAAAAUUCUUUUAUCACCUCCAAUGUACUCUUAGCGUGAUAUUGUUGACAAAGAAAGAAGUUAUUUCCUUUCAAAAAAAUGAAAGAAGGGAUUUUCGUGCUUUCCCCGAUCAAUGCUGUAAUUUUUUUUCAAUGAUUAAUGAUGUAGUUAAUUACACACAUGGACAGACCCACGUUGGAGGGAGUGGGUGUCACAUGACAUCUCUCACUUCUUAAAAAUGUUUUAGUUUUUAUACUAUAUAUCUAAGAUUUAGAGUAAUUAAUAUAUUAAUGAACUUAUUUUUUUUUUAUAAUUUUAUAGAAAUUGGGGUCAAAGACUUCAGGUAAAAGUGACUUAUCAAAAAAUAAUUUAUAUAUUAAUAUUUAAAUACUAUAAGAAAAGAUAAAAAACUUUCUUUUUAUAAUUUAAGAUUUUAUUUAAAAAGUCAAAACCUAAACUACUCUCUCUAUUUAAAAAUUCAAGUUCUUUCCCUUUUUGGUUUUUAGCUGUGAUUUUUACUUUUUCAAAGCAAUUCAUCUAGAGUUUAAUUUUAAGUAAUUUUCAACCCAAAUUAAGUUUCUAGAUAUUUUAUAUUUAAAUAUUUUUUGAUUAAUUUGAUAAUUUUGAUUCAUAAUUAUAAUCUAACUAAUAAAAAAUAAUAUUGCAUGUUAAACAAUAUUUUGAAAUUAUGAGUUUUUUAUUUAUUUUAUAGUUAUAUUAUUUGAUUAUUUGAUUUUUAUAUUUAACUUUAUCUAGUUUGUAAAUGUUUAUAUUUAGUUUUGAUCAAUAAAAAGAAAAUUGUUACAUUGUUAGUAACUGAACUUGAUAAUUUACAUGCUACAGAAGUUUUACUAUAUAUAUAUAUAUAUAUAUAUUAAAUUGAGGGUGAAAAAACUUACACGAAUAAAAAAAGUCACAAGAGAUUGAGAGCAAAGCUAACAAUCAAAGAAGAUUAAAUAAAAAAAGAAGUUGGAAAAGUAAUGAACCAUCCGAACAGUUGAUAUUAGAGAGUUCAAAAGUGAGAUAAUUUUGUCAACUCUUUAUUAUCAUAAGGAUAACACUUGUUUUAUCUAAAUAAACAACACUUCUUUUAUGACUUUAAAAAAAAAUAACAAUUCUUUUAUCUAAGUAAAUAACAUUAAAAAGUUAUAUAUAUUUGUACACUUGAGGCUCCAAUAUAAAAAAGAAUCAAAGGAGACACAAUGUGGGAGCAAGAGAUUUUUAAAGGGAGCGAGCAAGCUCUUCCAUGGCCACGUGGGAUUCGUUCUGCGGUACUGCUACAUUCCAAUCAUGCUUAUAGGUAAGAAAAAUGUAUUGAAACAAGGUAAAAAUAUUUAAAACGGCUAACAUUAGCAAGUACUUGUCAAUAUGACUUUCGUUUAUGGUGUCGCCGAUCCAGGGUCGAGCAAGCAAAAGUAGAAGCACACUGACGAAUCUUCCAAAACCCAGUACACCCUCGUUAAAUGGAUACUCAAGAACCCACAUCGAAACUGGUACUCUGUCAUAAAACAAAUACUUCAGUCCCUUUCCAAUAACUCCUUCCACAAUUCCUAAUAAGAAAAAUUGAGGAGCCAACCAUAAGAUUGUCAUGGGAAUAGUUUCAUUUUCUGAUAUUCUUUGGCCAACCUUAUUUUCAAAUUUGCUGAUUGAACUUAAUCUACGAACCUCCACUCUCCAAGCAGCUACGCAACACCCAAUAGCAAAGAACAUUCCAAUACCAAUUCUGACAAACCUGGCACGAUGUUGAAUGCUUUCUUCACUACUCCAGAAUUUUUUUAUCAGGAAAUUGCACAAUAAUGAUAUGAUGAAGGUUGUAAAGGUUUGAAGCACAUAGAAUGAAGUUAAGGGAAUCCUAUUGAAUGAAGAUGUAGGAAUCCUAAGAUCAAUCCGAGUAUCUAGAUUCUCACUUUGUACUAUAAACAGAGUGUAUCCCGUUGCCUCCACUAGACUAUAAACGAUGAAUGUUAUUCAAAGAGGUAUCAAUUUUACUAGGAGUUUUGCUUGAUUCAUUCGUUCAGCAACCGUCUUUCCUGCUGGAUCUUCAUGGUCGUAGCAGCACUUGCCAGAGCAGAAAACUAAAUAAGCUACCAAGACAAUUAUUAGUGAAACCUUGAAGCUAUCAUCCCAUUUAAGGCUUGAUGCAAAUGUUGAAGAUACGAAGGUUCCUAGAAACACUGCAAUAUAAUUCCAAAAAUUAGCACAAUUUAUAAGUGUAUCAUCGUAUUUCUCCAUAUGUUGUUUUCGGAAAAACUGAUCUUCCAUUAUCUCAGUCUCAUCAAUGUCCAUCGUCCCACGAAACUGGUCAUAGAGAAAUGGUUUCAACGAAGCAGCUUGUCCCGCUGUGCCUAGCAUAAAUAACGUUAAUGCUACGUAAAAUAUAAUAUUGCUGACAUGUGAAGCAAGAAGCCACCUAGAAAGCCAUAAUACCAGUAAUGCCUGCAAAAAGAAUAAUAUAAUUAUUGCGAGUGUUUUUUGCGAUAUUGAAAAUGUAACGGAGUUGAGUGCGACGGGUAUGGUGAUGCAGUAAUUUUUUGAAAAAACAUGACGGUGUAUUAACACAAUAACCUGGACACAGGAUAAGCACCCGAGCAUUUGGACACGUGAUAGGCAUCCGAGCAUUUAGCUCAUUAGUUAGUAUAUGAUCUCUCUAUUUUAAGAGUAAGAUUCGAAUUUUCCCUCUUCAAUUAUAUAAAAAGAAAAAAACCUAGACACAGGAUAACGCAUGGUGGAGAGUGUCUAAAAGGUGCAUGGGUUGCUCAAAAAAAUAGCAUUGUUCGCUUGCUAAUCAGAUUAAUCAGAUUUCUGAUUUUCUACCAUUAACUAAUCAGAUUAUUGUGAUAUCUCUGUGUUCAAGAUAUGCUUUAUCUCCCAACAAAUUUCUAUAUUAAUGACUUCUGUUUUUGUUUUCUUAACCGAAAUGAUGCUCCUUUUUUUACACACAAUUUUGGAAAGAAAGGAAAUUUACAACUGCCCUCUACCGUUGAAUUAUUAAAUGUUCUUGAUCACAAACUAUAAGAAAAUUUAAGGUAACUCACUGCAUAUUUAAAUAUUAAUUGUUUAGCCUAAUUUUCUGAAAUAAUUUUUCUACACUAGAAAACUUCUGAUAUUAUUAAAAUAAUUCUUUUUAGCUUUUCAUAAAAAGUUUAACACAUGAUUACAUGUGUUGCAUGUAAAUAAAUAAUUUCUUGUUUUUAAAUUCAUAGAGUAAGUGAUUUAGUAUUAAAAAAAUGCAGAUAAAAAAUUACUAUCUUUGUUUCAGAUUUAAUGUCUACAUUUUCUUUUUUAAUAUGUUCCAUAAUUAUAUCCGUUUUUAACAUUUACAACUUUUACUUUUUCUAUGUUAUAUAUUAAUUUUUAAUAUACCUUUUAUUUUUUAAUAUUGUAAAAACUAAAAUUUAUCAAUCAACGUUAUAAAAAAUAUAUUAAAGAAACUAAAGUUAAAAUGUUAUUCCUAAUCCUCUCUUAUGUUAAGUCCAAAGUGAAUAUUGAAUUUCGAAUGGAAAGAAUAAGAAUGAUAUAAAUUUAAUUUCAUAUCGUUCAUAUUUACCAUUGUAUUAUGUAACUUUUGAUAGAUACAUUUGAAAAUAUCAUAAGAGUAUCUAAAGUGCAAAGAAAAUAGGGUGUAGAAAAAAGAGGCAGAGGACAAGGCAAGAGGAGACUCGUUUGAGAUAUAACUAACUACAAUAGUGUAAGUCGGAGACAAGUGCUGACAGAAGAAGAAUGAACUUACGAUGAUCAAAGCUGGAACAGUGCAAACGAGGAGUUUGAACUGGCCUAUGCGAUCAAUUGCAAUGCGCUCGAGGACAAUAGACGUAAACAUUGUUACGCCUUCAAUGGCAUUUGCAAAGGCUGCAGCUUUUCGGAGAGAUGACUUCUUCCAAAUGAACUGGAUAUACGAUAUCAAGAAAGCUGUAAAUGCGUUGUCUAAAAAGGCGUGGCUCAUAAGCAAACCUGUCAUCGGAAAUGGUAGUCAUCCAUUAAAAUUAUGUUAGUGUAACAAUUAAUAACGAAAACUAGCUAGUACCAUUUUUCUUUUGGAAUUCUUUUAGCCCUUCCUAUUCAAGAAUAGCGUAGAUACCCGAGAUGAAUAGGGCACCCUUAGAGAAGCGAACGUAAUUGGACGCCCACGUCCACAUGCUAGAGAAGCAGUUGUUAAUAAGCAUCGACAUUUUUGGGGAGCAAGUGAAGCCAAAAUUAAAGCAGCUGAUGCAAUGUGCGUAUCACCUUAAUCGAUGGUUGAACACUUUUUCUUUAUGUUUGCUCGCUAUUUAUGCUAGUGGGGGAACUGAUUUUUAGAUUUUUUUCUUCCAAGGAUCAGGAUUCAGAAACCAUGCGGGGUAGACGCACGUGCUCGAGCAGAAGCAUUUGGCUGAAAUGGUAAACGGGUUGACAUGGGCUCUGGUGUGUGCUGUGCCAUUUGACUCUGUUCGAUGUUCAAGAAUCAAUACGCAAUUGAUACUGAAGAAAAAUACUAGGUAAAUAUCAAUAUGUUGCUGUUACUUCGGUGUAAGGGACUGGUUGAUUCCACAUGUUUUAGAAAUUGCAGUCGCAACCAUUCAUUUCUCAAGCUUAAUCCUCCCUCCUACUUGAUGUAUUACUUCCACGAAUUAAACCGGGCAUCCUAGUCCUCCCAUUUUAACCUUUUAAGAAACUAAAUUUCUCUCAACGUCAAGAAGCAUAUGGUCUUAUAACAAAAGCAAGUCAAGGUGGGCGCCGUCAAUCAGUUUUAAAUAAAAGCGCCGUGACUUGGUAAAAUAAUGGGUUAAAAGUCAUGUUCUGAAAAUUUUGCGAAGAAAAACCUCCCAUCCAAAGGAGACUGGUCGCAUCACCAUGGAGACGAAUCUGCUUGAAAUUAUAAUAACAAAAUAUGUUGGUAAUGUGUUUCCCAUUCUAAACUUUAAAAAUUAAAAUAUGUGAUUCUAUUCACGUAGAUUAUCGAUGGUGAAGAUUUAGUCAGCAUUUUUGUGAUGUAAAGACAAAGAUCGAGGUGGUAACUAAUUAAGUUGGUAGAAGUGUAUUUUGUAUGAAGACCUCGUAUGAUCAAGUUCAUGAUAUGGUCAAAAAAAUAUAUAUUUCUAUGAAGAAAUAAGAGUCUAUAUAGCUACUUUGGUUAUUGAGCUUACUCAUAAAAUUUUUAAACCAUAAUUCCAAUGAUAUAAACCAUUUAUUGAGCUAAUCUCAAUUUUUCUCCUUCAAUUCUUCAAAAGGGAUUUCAUCCGAAAAGGAUAUUAGGAAAUGCUUUGGGACUCACAUGAUAUUCUGUAAUAGCCACUAAAAUCUUUUUUAACUAGGGAAGAUUCUCACAUUUGAUUUCACCCAUACAUCUUUUACUUGAUUGAAUAUUGCAGGCUUUCACCGUAUUUGUUUCAGAUAUAUGCUCUGCUUUUUCAUUCUUACUCGUUAAGGCUUGUGCAUAAUAUUAGACAACUUUGCACUCGGAGAUGGAUUCUGUUUCUUCUGGCCACUUUAAUCACCUCUUUUUCCUUCUGGAUAACCCUUCCCUGGUUGUUCAGUGCUUCGUUUUUUCCAAUAAAAAAUUCUGCACCCAAAUCUGACAAUGUUCAAGUCUUUGGUCUAAUGACCAAGCUCCAGUCAAUCUUGAAACUGCUCUUUGAACAUCUGCUGGUACCUCAUAUCUACAAAUCAAAAUUUACUCCCCUACUUGAUUUUUUUUCUUAACUAUAUAAACAUAAACCACCUUACAAACUUGUUGGAAAAUUCUUUUGUCACCUCCAACGUACUCUUAGCGGGAUAUUGUUGGCAAAGAAGUUAUUUUCUUACUUUCCCUGAUCAAUGUUGUAAUUAAUUACACAACUUAAUGAAAAUGCUUGUACUAUAUAGAAGAAUAGAUGACAAUAAUAAGUUAACGAGAUGAGAAAUCCAUUUCCAUAUAUAUUUGUUAUUGAAUUAAUUGUUCGUUUAAGAUGUAUUGCAUAAGUUAACAAUGCAAAAAACCUUAAGAAUGCAAAAAACCUCUUUCAUAGACCUAGAUCAUCCUUGAACUAAGUCAAUGAAUUUAUUUUACGCAAAAGCACUAGAUAGGUGCUGAAAAAUUAUAAUUAAGAUUUAGCAAGUGUCUAGCCUGUUUCUCGAUCUAGUCAUGGAAUCAAAAUUAUAAAAAAUUGGUAUGUUUGAAUAACGCAGCAAUGACAAAUUCUGGUCCAAAGAGGUUUUGUCAUCUCCACCGUGAUGAAUGUGUUUAAGAUUAUAAAUAUAUGAUUCCAUAAUGUUUCAUUUUGGCACAUGGAAUUAAGGAUAAGACAUGAUUAUAAUAAAAUAACUGAAAAAAAAAACAAAUGAAAGUUUGGGGAGAAGACAGAAAUGGUAUUGAUAAUUAUAUAUAUGAAAGUACACAUCAUUACUUAAACCUUUGGGCACGUUCACGUUUGACAGAUUAUGAAAAAAAUCAUACUUUAAUAAGUCUUUUAGUUAUAAUUUUUGUGAUUUUGUCAAAUCAAAAGACACAUUACAAAAAAAAAAAACUCUUUAAUUAGACCUUUUUUUUGAACUAAUGAGUUUUAUUUUAUAUUUGUUGUUUUUUACUGUAUUUUAUUAUUAUGAAGGUUCAUAAUCAUUUUUGGGAUUGAUAAUUCAUUUGGUGUCCUCUUUUUACUAUCAAAAUCUUCCUCUUUGGUUUUUUUUUUUUUAAGUUGGGUCUUUAUUUUUUUAUUUGUUAUUUUUUUUAUUUUCAUGUUCAUUAGGAGUUUACAUAAUUAACUAAUUUAUUAUUUAGAACGAAUAAAGUUAUUAUAUACGUUCCAUAAUAAAAAAUAAAAAUGAAAAAAAACCUUCCAUAUCAGCCUACUCACAAUAAUUAUUUUCAAUAUCUAUUUUAAAAAAUGUUUCAAAUUAGUGACAUUUUGGAAAUUUGCGAGGGGUGGUAAUGCUUAAAGAAGUUACACUCGUUUGUUACCACGCCACCUGUUAUUUUAAUAGCAUAAUGCUAAUAUUUUAAACUCUUGUUUGAUUUUUAGGACAGGGAAGAAAAUAUUUUAGUUGAUUGCAAGAAACAUCUUGUUCAAAACUAUAGCUUCCGUUGUCAAAUUGACUUUGAUAAAAAAAAAAAAAGGGAAAAUGAAGACAUUAUCAUCUUUUAUACAUUAACGAAAAGGUUUUUAAAUUUUAUAAAUAAUUUAAAUAAUAAAUACAUGCUCAUUUAGCAAUAUAUAUAUAUAAAAGGUGCCUAGUUGUUUAUUCGAAUUCUCCCAGUUCAUGUUAAUCACCGUCGAGUCAAAUUCAAAAUCAUUGUCAUCAUCUUUGACUUCCCUGUUGAAAAACAAAAUGCAGAAUCAUUCAAACAAUCGUGUACUCUGGCUUUUCUUGUUGUUGGGUAUUUCUUUUAUCAAUCUAACAAAGCACUUUUGAAGCAAAUUUGCCUGAGUAAUGAGCAUCUUUUCCCAUUCUUAUGACAGAUUAUGAUAAACCCAUGACCCAAUUACAUAACCCGAACGUACUUACUGUCUGAGUGUGACCCGAGGGAAAAGAACAUACCUGCGAUCAAGAUACCGAGGUUGGAUCCCGCUACCUUGGCAAGUAGUGCACGAUAAAGAACCAACACCUUCACAGUUGAUGCAUUUCGAGACUUCUUUCUCAUCCCCACCAAGCUCUACACUUAUCGUCCCACUUCCCAUACAAAACCUGCACCUCUCUGGACCAUCACGAAACCUUGAAUUACUCCAACAUCACACUCCAUGAAGCAUGAACACCCCAAAAAUGAUAAAACAAGUAGACCUUGAAAUUUGUAACAUAUGCAUCUUUCUUCAUUUCUUUCUUUUUCUCUCUAUAGUUUUUCUUGAUUUUUGUUUAGUUCGAUUGUUAUACUUGAGAAUGAAUUGCUUGCGGGCACCGGUGCCAUUGCAAGGGAAUCACGGUUGGGCGUUUUCACGCUUUGCCUGCAAAAUUAAUUGUCCCCACUUUUGUUUUCAAAAUUUUAACCCAAAAGAAAACUACAUUACUAAAAUAAUUCAUUCAUGUUAAAGAUAAAAAGAAAUGAAAUUACUGCACUAUCGAUUUGAGACUUGCAGAAGAUUGGGAUGCUGAUCCCAACCGCAACGCUGAUAAGCCCAACCGACGCUGUUACUAUCUGAAAACAGAACUUUCUUUCAAUUACCCCUAUGAAUCGUUUCGAAAUUACAUGAUUAGAAACAGUUAAAGAUAGAGUAAGAACCGUGGUCUGAUCAAGGUCGACGGCUCUGAUGCAUGGAUAAGACGCCGGCGACCGCGGGCUCCUUCCACAUUUGAAGGACAAAGAUGGAGUUGAGGGCUUGAGUGGACUGCAAAGAUAUGGAGAGUGAAAAUGAGGAAGUAAAAGAGUUAUUGACAUUUUGCCUUUUUUUUUUUUGGGAAAACAAAGGGAAAUUCGAUUACGAAGAGCGAAACUGGAGCGCCAAGAAUGGAGACCUGGCAAUGGCCGAUUUUGGUUAUGUAAUUUGUGGGACUGGGAUCGAUGGUAGCCAACCAGACAGCCGGAGAUUUUUUGUAUUCCACGUGGCACCCUUUGAUUGGUUUGAGCUUUGACAACUCAAAAUAACUUAGAUUAAUUGAUUCCACAAAUUCAUUAUUUUUCUCUUUUAUUGAAUGAUUUUUGAAUUUAUGGAAUGAAUUUAUAAAAUUAUUUCUUAUAGAAAAGAUGGUAUUGAACUGAUAAUUAUAAAUAAUCAUAGGUUUGAUGAGUUUGUCGACGACACACAUCAAAUUGAUUUUUAAUAAAUUUAAUCAUAAAUAUUAAUUUUUAUUAUUUGUUGAUACAUUUUCAAUUGAAUCAGUAAAUGACUUCUCAUAUUCACUAGGAUUAAUGCUCUAAACCAAAGUACACGUACAGAGUUCGUAGUCCAUAACAUUAAGCAUUUGGGAUCUGGACACCUAUAUCAAAAGUACUAAACAUAGCCUCAGAUGCAAUCGUACCUAACCCACACCCUUUCGCAUUCCCUCUUGGCUUAACACGGGCUCAGUUAGGCUUUGGACUUGUACGGGGCUUAUGAUGUGCUUAGGGUAAUAAGGCCAAGCCAACCAUGUCGUUGUGCUACAGUAACGAACCCACAAAAUAUUGACCUUCGACGUUAAUUUUGUGUAAUGGCACUAAGCAGUGGUCACUAAAACAAAUGCAUGAGAUUUCUGAUGCAAAGGAUCCACUGAAGUGCAACUGUAGAGCAUAUGACUCAUGUCAUUGCUUACUAGGUGUAAGCAAUGGAUUCAUAUUCAGAAACUAACUGAAAGGAGAGAGUAGCCAAAGAGAGAAACUUUAGAAAAACAUACUUUAUAUUUUGUAGAUAAGUACUCAGCUAUGUGCAUUCUUGUGAAGUUCUUCUCUUACCACUUAAUAGGUAAUGGUAUCUCAUAGCAACUUUUUCUGUGUCACUCUGUUGCUAGAAGUUUUUGUGUUUAUGAUGUGUUUCAGAUAGUUAUGUCUAAUGAAAUUAAGAGGAAACGUAAUCUAAACACUAAGGUUAUAUUUUCAAAGUGAUGUGUGAACAAGGAUGUUUUUAAGUAUUUAUGUUUUAAAUUAGUGUGAUAAUUAGUUUGAACAUGGUUAUAAUUAAUUAAAUGUAUCCUAUGUUUAGAAAUAGAUACGGAUUGUGAAACAUGUUCAUUCAAGUAACGACGUUAAAAGUUUAAAUCCAACAAUUAGAUAUUUGGAAAUGGGUAAGAAAAGUUUAAAUUAAGGCUAACUUGGAACUUUGUGAGCUUGCUUACGAGACUCAAGAGCCGACAGCGAUCACAGGAAUUGGUUGUUACAAUUCUAGUGCUCCCCUUAGGGAGCUCGAUGCUCCCUUAAGAAGCCUCGAUAAGGCUCCCCAAGGGGAGCACCGAUUAGUGCUCUUUUUUUUUCUUUAAUUUUUAAACUUAUAAUAAUAAUUUUUUAAAUUAAUAAAAAAAGACAGUUUAGUCUUUUCUUAAUAUCUGUUGACAGUUUUUAUAUUUUUGGAGUAGAGUGUCCAUUUUAAAAGCUCAUGAACCCAUUUAGAAUUUUGACUAAAACUUAGGAGGGUUGGGGUAUUUUACCCUUUAAUGUAUCAUUCCCAUGUAUCACGCAUUACCCUAAAGAUCUUCAUGUUCUAGAGAUGGGCUAGUAAUUCCUCUACUCUUACCCAGACUUUAUACUUUCGGUCAUCCUUCUCCAAACUCUUAGGCUUAAUGCUUUCAAACCAUAACUCAAGGGUGUGCUUGUAUUGUCUCAACAUAACCUCCAUCUCCUAAGUAGCUUCGAAAGUGACAAAUACUUUAAGACCACCAGUUGGUCUCACUUUUAUUCUCACCCCCUUCGAGGAAAAAAAGUAAUAGAUAUCCUCACAAUAGCAAGGUUUCCUGAGUUGACCCAUUACGCUUCUCUAUAGCCAUUCCACUUCCUGCUUAUUAAUAAACACUCUUAUCCCAUCAAGUUUAAUCCCUUCUUGAUUACCAUGAUGACUAGUCCCUCCAUUUCUCUUCCUUUCUUUGGUCUUUGUUCGCCUCACCAGCAACCACAUCAUUGAAGGACCUCAUAGUUGCCUUUGUACCUUUUAGGCUCCAACAAUCGUUCCAAAUGUGACCUUCCUCUCUCACUUUGGAACCCAUUCUAUCCGCUUCCUUUACAUGUAGAUGCUAUCCAACUAAAAGAAUGUUAUGACCUAGCUCCAUUGCUUUGUAUAACUUAAAUUUGGAAAGGUACCUAACAAAAACAAACCUUAAAGCCUUACAUUUUGCCAACUUUGUAAGAUAGAGAUCCAUAACCACCCUAAACUUAUCAAAGAAUCAUUUUAGAUCUCUCCACCUUAUCUCCCACCCUAUGUUAUCCACAAACGCAAUGAACACACUCCUUCGUCACUAAUCAAAUUCUUUGAACCUUUUCCCCUUUGCCACUCCGUAGUCCUCCCUGAAGCUCCUCCCAUCCUCGUAGUUACCUGAUUCCCUACGAUCACCCCAAGAUUCAUCUGCCGUAACCUCAUUUUUUUUCUUUUUUUUCUCUUUCACUAGCGCUCUUUUUCUCUCUCAUGUUUUUUUUCUCAAGAGUGUGCUUAUGCCUAGCAUUAAUAAUGUUGAUGCUAUGUAAAAUAUAAUAUUACUAAUGUCUGAACGCCAACUAAAAAGCCACAAUAGUAGUACUGCAUACAAAAAGAGUGCCAUUAUUGCGAGAUUCUUUUAGGAUAUUUGAAAAUGCAACAAAGAUAAGUGUGAUGAGUAUGGUAAUGCAAUAUUUUGAAAAAAAAGUAAUUUACUAAAGUGUAAUUAGUUGAGGAAAAUGGAAUAGUCAUCAAAUGAACCAUUAACUCACCACUAGACAGAAAGCCAAACUGGUAACGAAAGGUAUUCACCCAUUAUCAAGUUUUUUGGUCCAUUUGCUUCGUAAUGAAUGCCCAUGUUUAGAAACUACUACUCUAACAUAUGGAGCUGGGCAUCCUAUUACGUUCGCUUCUCUAAGGGUGCCUUAUUCAUCUUAGGUAUAUGUAUACUUUAUAUUAGUUUUUAUCAUGACAGUAGAUCUCAUAUGUAAAUUUAGUUAUAACAUUUUUAUAUUUAAAUUCUCAAAAAGUCUUUAGAAAUGUAUUUGGGCACAUUAAUUAUGUUUGUUUACAUCUUCAUUUCUUGUUCUUAGUAUGCUUAUAUAUUCUAAUGAUCCUAGAUUUGGUAUGUGUGGCAUGUUGGUAUAUGCCCUUAAGCCAACUGGAUUGGUAAAUGAAUAUAUAUAGUUAUUUAAUGCAUACUUAAUUGCAUAAUUAUAUAUGAUAGAGGUUUUUUUCAUGUUAGUGCAAUAAUAAGGAGUUAUUAAGUACUAAUUGGAUGAAGUCAUGGAACAUAAAGGUCUUGUAAGAAAAUUGUAAAGUUGUUACAAUUAUGAAAUCACUACGCAUUAAAACCAUGUUCCUAAAAUUAUUCUUGGUCAUUGUAUUGUCAAGACAGGGCAUUGACAAUGCUCAAAGACUGGUACAUGUUAAGCCUCAUUACUAAGGAAGUAAGCAAUCGAUCUCAUAGAUUGAAGUAUAUAGGAUACUUGAGGAUAACAUGUAGGUGCUUAUUAAAGAACAAGUUCACUGAACAUGACCCGCUAUAAGAACUCCAUUUGAUAUUUCACUCAAGUGUCUAUGAAAUAUAUUGUCAUGUGAUAGUUGUGCAACUAGUCCUUAGACUUGAGACACUAGGUUAUCUUUUAUGGAGAAUGAUAUACUUUGAUUUCAUCUAUAUGGGUCUAGAGGCGAUCAGAUGCCUAAACAUGGUGUUUUUGAGUAUGCCAUGAAGCAUGCGAAGGUGAAUGAGUGGUCAAGAGAGGAUUCAUCACCCCAAGUGAUAUGAGGGGAUAUAUCUCACUUGUUUUCAAUUCUUGAUUAACUUAUAUAAAGUCUUUGGCUAAAGCAUGAUGAAUUUGAGAAAAGUUGGUUUCUUAAAUUCAUAAAGUUAGUCAUGAAUUAUAAGAACUAAUAUGGAAUGCUAUAAGUAGACGCUGAGCCAUGCUUUAUGACAUAUUCGGGAUAUUUGAUGAAAGGACCGUAUUACAUUAAGAGGCUUAUCACUGAAGGGUUUUGUCAAAUUCUUUAAUUGACUCUCUAACAUUUGGAUAGUCAUGACGUAUUGUUAUAUGUCACUCAUUAUCUGUAAAUAUAAAUCAAUUAUCAAAUUGAUAUUUGAUUAGGAUUUAUAUUUAUUGCCAACAUGUUAAAAGCCUAAUGGGUCACACACAUUAAGUGAUAUGAUUGGGAUUAAAUAAGGAUAAUUAAUUAAGUUGGACUUAAUUGAAAUAGACCAAAAUAAAGUGAAAAAUUAAUUAAGUUCACAGAGACUUAAUUAAAUUAAAAUACAACUGUUGUAUUUAGGGUUGCAACUUAAUUUGGCUAUAUAAAUAUGUUAUGUUAACAAACUAAAACUUUAAGCCUCCAACCACUUCUCAGCCAUUUCAUAAAAUAAGAAAAAAAAUAGUUUUCUUUGUCUGACAAAAAUAAGAUUCGGCAAGAAUUUUUAAUCCUUUUGUUUUAAAAACAAAACUUAGUAGCACCAGUAAAAAAUCUUACCUUUGAGAAGGUCUUAUUCGGUCAUUGUGUGGAUUAUUGUUAGAGGCCAAACACUUGGAUGGCUAAAGAUUUGACAAAUCCUAAAGGUGAAGAAGCAAACAUUUUGAUUUAAUUGGCUCUUAAUUACGAACUCUAGAGCAAGGUAUGUAACUCUUAAACUUAUAAAUGUUCAUAAUUAAUUAGAAAAGUACAUGAAAAAUACAAACAUUGAUCCUAUAAGAUUCGACUGUUUCUCUAAUUAAAUGUUAGUUUAUUAUUCCGUUGCAUUAUAUUUUUAAUUUUUUAAUUAUUUUCAUAUUUGAACAUGAUUUAAUUGGCUCGUGUUUCAUGUUUCGGGGAGCAUGGAAUAUAUAUAUAUAUAUAUAUAUAUAUAUAUAUAUAUAUAUAUAUAUAUAUNGGAGUAUAUAUAUAUAUAUAUAUAUAUUAUAUAUAUAUAUAUAUAUUAUAUAUUAUAUAUAUAGUUUGUUUUCUUUUGCACUGGCCAAUCAACACCUUUCAUAGCUUUAUUUUACAUUGAAUAUACACUUUCCCCUCCCUCCCCCGCAGCGUGUCAUUAUGAAUUAGCAUAAACUUUAAAACGUUCUUAUUUUAAGAUUUUUCAAUCAAAUAAAAAGAAUGAGUAUCAUUUCUAUCCAGUGACGAAAUCAAGGUUUCGUAUUUGAGGAUGAACACGAGAUAGGUUCGUCAUGAAGUCUUAAGACAAUAAGGCUUGGAGAAUAAUUGAUCUACUACAGUAAGUAUUACUUUAAUCUCUAAAUUUACUAAAAUUAAUUUUGAUUAAUUGUUGUGAAACAUCUCAUCAAAUAAAAAAUUAUUAUCAGGACAAAACUAUGAGAUUUAAAAAAACAAAUGUAUAUUAUGGAAAUAUAUAAAAGCAACAUUUAAAUUUAUUCGCAUAAACAACAAAGAAUAGAAGUUCUCUAUCAUAUAUUAUAACCAAAAUGUCCAAAAAGUCCUAACCAUAACAAACCAAGAAAAGCCCAAUCUUCUAAGCCAAGAGAGGCCCAACCCUCUAGAAGACCAUGAUCAAGAUUAAUCAUUAAUAUUAGGCUUAAUUAAAUAUGUUUUAAUAUGUUAAAGUGUGUUAGUGUGUUGUCAUGUCUCCCUCAACAAAAAAUCUUUAAUAGAUGAAAAAGCAUAAAUUUGUGUUAUUUAUUGAUUUGAUGAUUUGACAUGUUUAUUGAUUUAUUAUGUUAAAGAUUAUAAACUUGAUUAUAUUAGUAAUGAUUAUCGAUACAUGUAAACUUUCAUCAAAAAAAUAUAUCCGCCGCAUUACAUUUAAUGAAGUAAUUGCAUAUAUCUCUUCUCAUUUAAUCAUGUCGAGAUUUAUGAAAUAAAAAAUCUAUACCAAGAUUUUUGCUCCACAUUUUCUUCAUCACUAAGGUUCAAUUUAAUCAUGUUCACAUAUGUCUCUUCUCACCAAGGUUUAGUUUUAUUACCUAUUUGUUCUACAUCUUCUUCAUCACUAACGGCAUCAUCAUGUUCUUGCUCCUCUUCAUCCUCAUCCAAAUCUGUACCAAGAUUUAGUUCUUAAGAUGAAGAAUCGAAGCACCAACCUCAAAAGUCUCGCCACCAACCGAGAGUGGCCAUGCAACAACCGAGAGAUGGACCUAUGCUCGAAGAUCUAAAUGAUCUAUAGAUGGGUUGGGUUGGGUUGGGGUGAGGUGGGGUGGAAGUAGUGGCGGAGGAAGUGGGCCAUGAAGCAUGAAGGAAUCGCCGAUGUCGCUGUCGACAAUGUAGAUAGUGGGCCAAGGUGGAAGGCAGAAAAUGAGGAGUUGUAAAGAAAGAACGAGGAGGAUAAGGAAAACCUUGAUUUUUUUUAUCUAAUUAAAUAUUUAAUUGUAAAUUAUUGAUAUUUAUUUUUAAGGUUUUAAAGAAUUUAAAUUUUAUUCAUUAAUGAAGUAUAUAUUGUUAAUGCAUAAAGUAUAAACUCUUCCUAUAUAUGUAUUGCAAGUUGUUUAAUUAGUAAUUAUAAUUUUUAUUUAAACAUUAAAAAUUACAAGAAAAAUUAAAAAUAAUGUAACAAAUAACCUUUACUCCACAUCAAGAAAAAAAAAGCAUAUUGAGCAAAACAAGUACAUAUUAGCUUGUAAUAGAAAUAAGAGGAAAUUGUGAGAAAUGACCUUCAUAGAAAGGUAACUUUAAAAAUGACCGUCUUUAUAAUUUUAACUGUUUUUAGUCAGUUUUUGGUAUGACUUGACAAUAAUACCCUUUAAACAAUUUCAAACAAAUUAAAAUAGUUUCAGUUUUCUCUCUCCCGCCAUUCAGAUAAAAUUUCAAAAUUAAAUCUCAAUUUCUUUCUCUACUCAAAUAUGUCUAUUUCGCCAUCCAAUUCGUAAAUAUGACAUCAAGUUCUUUCUUAGUUUGUUUUAUUUUUUUAGAUGGUGGAUCUUGGGGUUUUUAAGGGAGAUGAACAACGAUUUUGCUCUUUGCAGGUAGUGAUUUUGCUCAGGGAGAAAGAACAACUAAAGCAUGUUUGAUGGGUUUUAUGGUGGUUCACAAUUUUAUUGUGUUUGGGAUUUGGAUGAUUAUUAAGCAUGUUUGUUAGGGAUUUUGAUUUUUUUUAUAAGAUUUUAAGUUGAAAUUGUUCAGAGAAUAUUUUGUAAAGAGGGUAUAUUUUGUUUUUGUAUAAGGGGAGUGAGCAAGACCUCUCGAUAGGGAUAUAUGUUCUCUUACUUUUGAGGGUUAUGGAGUUUUAUAACCUAUCUUUUAUGAAAUGCACAAUUUCAUGGCUUAGCAAAAAAAAAUAUGUAUUUUAGGUUCUUGAGUUUGUUGGUUUAUUCAUAGAACCCCAAAAUUGAUUUAUUGAUUUUUAGGUAUUGUGUGACUUAAUCACCGUGUGACUAGUUUUUAGUCAUUACGUGAUUGAUUUUAGCCAUUACGUGACUAGUUUUUAUACAUUGCAUGACUGAUUUUUAAGCAAUGCCUAAGUCACACGAUGCCUUACGAACUAGUCACGCAAUACCUUACUAACAAGUCACACGAUGCCUUACUAAUAAGUCACGCAAUGCCUUACUAACAAGUCACGCAAUGUCUAUCAACUAGUCAUGCAAUACCUUAUCAGAAACUAGUCACGCAAUGCCUUAUCAAAAACUAGUCACGCAAUGCCCAAAGUUAGUCAUGCAAUGCUUUAUUAGAAACUAGUCACGCAAUGCCUUAUAAAAACCUAGUCACGCAAUGCCCAAAGUCAGUCACGUAAUGCCUAUUAACUAGUCACACAAUGCCUUAUCAGAAACUAGUCACGCAAUGCCUCAUCAAAAAUCAAUCACGUAAUACCCAAGGUCAGUCACACAAUACCUAUUAACUAGUCAUGCAAUGCCUUAUCAAAAACUAGUCACAUAAUGCCUUAUCAAAAAUCAGUCACGUAAUGUUCAAAGUCAGUCAUGCAAUGCUUAAAAACUAAUCACAUAAUUCUCAAAAAUUACCAAAACUACUGAAUUCUAUUUAACAAGAUCAACAACUUCAAACGAUACACCAUAUUCCAUUUAACAACAUAAUUAACAAAUAUGAAUGCUUAAAAUGUUCGAAAGUUUUUCUUCAUUUAUCAAAAAUCACUCUAACAUGUUUAAAAAUGCUCAAAACACUCACAGGUUUUCUUCGUGUAUCAAAAACUACUCCAAAAUGCUCAAAAUGCUUAAACGUUUUUCUUUCUGAUAAGGAGUACUCCAAAGAUGAAUAGUCUGGUGAAGAAAGCUCCAAAAAUAUGAGUCAGUUUGAGACGCAAACCUAAACAUAUUUGACCCGUUAAUAAGUUUCGGGUUGAGGCGAGGAGCCUAGCGAAUGGGUCGAUUUCAUUAAGGAUAAUUUUGUCCAAUUUGUUUUCUCUUGGCUAAAAAUAGAUAAAGUUAUAGAAAAGACUAUUCUUAAAAACACCUUAUGUCUCAAGCCCAUUUAUGAAAAGCACUCUAGAAAUAAUGUUGAUGAUAUGUACGACAUAUACAGAUUAUGCAUAUCUAAUCUAGGGCCACGAAUGAAGGCGUUGAAUGACUACUUUUCCCACUGAACGAGACUCUAGAUUGCUCAUUGAUUUACUAGGAGACUUGGAAUUUGUCCCCAAGGCUAAGGGCGCUGAGGAAGAUGCAGUUAUUAAUUCCGUGGAGCCAGCAACCAUUACCAUGCUCAUGUGGGAUCCGCUUUGCGGUACUAUUACAUUCCAAUCAUACCUAUAGGUAAGAAAAAUGUCUACAAACAUGAUAAAAAUAUUUAAAACGGCUAACAUUAGCAAGUACUUGUCAGCUUGACUUUCGUUUAUGGUGUCGCCAAUCCAGGGUCGAGCAAACAAUAAUGAUAACACACUGAUGAAUCUUCCAAAACACAGCACACCUCCAUUAAAUGGAUACUCAAGAACCCACAUCGAAACGGGUACUCUGUCAUAAAACAAAUACUUCAGUCCCUUUCCAAUAACUCCUUCCACAAUUCCUAAUAACAAAAAUUGAGGAGCCAACCAUAAGAUUGUCAUGUGAAUAGUGUCAUCUUCUGAUAUUCUUCGGCCAACCUUACUUUCAAAUUUGCUGAUUGAACUUAAUCUACGAACCUCCACUCUCCAAGCAGCUAUGCAACACCCAAUAGCAAAGAACAUUCCAAUACCAAUUCUGGCAAACCUGGCACGAUGUUGAAUGCUUUCUUCACUACUCCAGAAUUUUUUUAUCAGAAAAUCACACAAUAAUGAUAUGAUGAAGGUUGUAAAGUUUUGAAGCACAUAGAAUGAAGUUAAAGGAAUCCUAUUGAAUGAAUAUAUAGGAAUCCUAAGAUCAAUCCGAUCAUCUAGAUUCUCACUUUGUUCUAUAAACAGAGUGUAUCCUGUUGCCUCCACUAGACUAUAAACGAUGAAUGUUAUCCAAAGAGGUAGCAAUUUUACUAGGGGCUUUGCUUGAUUCAUUCGUUCAGCAACCGUCUUUCCUGCUGGAUCUUCAUGGUCGUAGCAGCACUUGCCAAAGCAGAAAACUAAAUAAGCUACCACGACAACUAUUAGUGAAACCUUGAAGGUUUCAUCCCAUUCAAGGCUUG
Molecule: long non-coding RNA, 34507 nt
Filed under: Theobroma cacao (cacao)
Lineage: Eukaryota; Viridiplantae; Streptophyta; Magnoliopsida; Malvales; Malvaceae
Description: long non-coding RNA (TCAC_LNC005628)
Source: RNAcentral